This 253-nucleotide ribosomal RNA is filed under the name uncultured bacterium. RNAcentral describes it as "partial 16S ribosomal RNA". It matches the Rfam family "Bacterial small subunit ribosomal RNA", at positions 524 to 776 of the family's 1533-position model. The record is from RNAcentral.
UACGUAGGGGGCAAGCGUUGUCCGGAAUUAUUGGGCGUAAAGAGCUCGUAGGCGGUGUGUCGCGUCGGCCGUGAAAACCUGCGGCUCAACUGCAGGCUGGCGGUCGAUACGGGCAGGCUGGAGUUCGGUAGGGGAGACUGGAAUUCCUGGUGUAGCGGUGAAAUGCGCAGAUAUCAGGAGGAACACCGGUGGCGAAGGCGGGUCUCUGGGCCGAUACUGACGCUGAAGAGCGAAAGCGUGGGGAGCGAACAGG